UACGAAGGGGGCUAGCGUUGCUCGGAAUUACUGGGCGUAAAGCGCACGUAGGCGGAUUGUUAAGUCGGUGGUGAAAUCCUGGAGCUCAACUCCAGAACUGCCUUCGAUACUGGGAAGCUCGAGUCCGGGAGAGGUGAGUGGAACUGCGAGUGUAGAGGUGAAAUUCGUAGAUAUUCGCAAGAACACCAGUGGCGAAGGCGGCUCACUGGCCCGGUACUGACGCUGAGGUGCGAAAGCGUGGGGAGCAAACAGG
This 253-nucleotide ribosomal RNA is filed under the name uncultured bacterium. RNAcentral's name for it is "partial 16S ribosomal RNA". It matches the Rfam family "Bacterial small subunit ribosomal RNA", at positions 524 to 776 of the family's 1533-position model. The record is from RNAcentral.